UUCUCCUGGAAACGGGUGGUAAUGCCGGAUGUUCCACAUGAUCGCAUGUGAUUGUGGGAAAGAUUCUAUCGGCGUGGGAUGGGGUCGCGUCCUAUCAGCUUGUUGGUGAGGUAACGGCUCACCAAGGCUUCGACGGGUAGCCGGCCUGAGAGGGCGACCGGCCACAUUGGGACUGAGAUACGGCCCAGACUCCUACGGGAGGCAGCAGUGGGGAAUAUUGCACAAUGGGCGCAAGCCUGAUGCAGCGACGCCGCGUGAGGGAUGGAGGCCUUCGGGUUGUAAACCUCUUUUGUUUGGGAGCAAGCCUUCGGGUGAGUGUACCUUUCGAAUAAGCGCCGGCUAACUACGUGCCAGCAGCCGCGGUAAUACGUAGGGCGCAAGCGUUAUCCGGAUUUAUUGGGCGUAAAGGGCUCGUAGGCGGCUCGUCGCGUCCGGUGUGAAAGUCCAUCGCUUAACGGUGGAUCUGCGCCGGGUACGGGCGGGCUGGAGUGCGGUAGGGGAGACUGGAAUUCCCGGUGUAACGGUGGAAUGUGUAGAUAUCGGGAAAGAACACC
RNAcentral lists this ribosomal RNA (554 nucleotides) under Bifidobacterium bifidum. Its description in RNAcentral is "bacterial SSU rRNA". It matches the Rfam family "Bacterial small subunit ribosomal RNA", at positions 145 to 710 of the family's 1533-position model. Lineage: Bacteria; Bacillati; Actinomycetota; Actinomycetes; Bifidobacteriales; Bifidobacteriaceae. The record is from RNAcentral.